RNAcentral lists this ribosomal RNA (477 nucleotides) under uncultured bacterium. RNAcentral describes it as "bacterial SSU rRNA". It matches the Rfam family "Bacterial small subunit ribosomal RNA", at positions 22 to 507 of the family's 1533-position model. The record is from RNAcentral.
GCUCAGGAUGAACGCUGGCGGCGUGCCUAACACAUGCAAGUCGAACGGAGUCUUAUGAAGUUCUCGGACGGAUUAAGACUUAGUGGCGGACGGGUGAGUAACGCGUGGGUAACCUGCCUCAUACAGGGGGAUAACAGCUGGAAACGGCUGCUAAAACCGCAUAAGCAUACACUGCCGCAUGGCAGAGUGUGAAAAUACUUGUAGGUAUGAGAUGGGGCCCGCGUCUGAUUAGCUAGUUGGUAGGGUAACGGCCUACCAAGGCGACGAUCAGUAGCCGGCUUGAGAGAGUGACCGGCCACAUUGGGACUGAGACACGGCCCAAACUCCUACGGGAGGCAGCAGUGGGGAAUAUUGCACAAUGGGGGAAACCCUGAUGCAGCGACGCCGCGUGAGUGAAGAAGUAUUUCGGUAUGUAAAGCUCUAUCAGCAGGGAAGAUUAUGACGGUACCUGACUAAGAAGCCCCGGCUAACUACGUG